RNAcentral lists this ribosomal RNA (774 nucleotides) under Nannizziopsis pluriseptata. RNAcentral's name for it is "eukaryotic LSU rRNA". It matches the Rfam family "Eukaryotic large subunit ribosomal RNA", at positions 98 to 885 of the family's 3401-position model. The record is from RNAcentral. Lineage: Eukaryota; Fungi; Ascomycota; Eurotiomycetes; Onygenales; Nannizziopsiaceae.
GCGGCAGAAGGUCAAAUUUGAAAUCUGGCCUCUUUGGGGGUCCGAGUUGUAAUUUGCAGAGGACACUUCGGGUGCGGCCGCGGCCUAAGUCCCCUGGAACGGGGCGUCGCAGAGGGUGAGAAUCCCGUCUUGGGCCGUGGGCCUUGCCCCGUGUGAAGUUCCUUCGACGAGUCGAGUUGUUUGGGAAUGCAGCUCUAAGUGGGUGGUAAAUUUCAUCUAAGGCUAAAUACUGGCGGGAGACCGAUAGCGCACAAGUAGAGUGAUCGAAAGGUUAAAAGCACCUUGAAAAGGGAGUUAAAUAGCACGUGAAAUUGUUGAAAGGGAAGCGCUGGCAGCCAGACACGGACUCGGGGGCUCAGCGGGCAUGCGUGCCCGUGCACUCCCCCGCGGUCCGGGCCAGCAUCGGUUUCGGCGGCCGGUCAAAGGCCCCGGGAAGGUAUCGUCCUCCGGGACGACUUACAGCCCGGGGUGCAAUGCGGCCAGCCGGGACCGAGGUACGCGCUCCGGCACGGAUGCUGGCGUAAUGGCUGUCAGCGGCCCGUCUUGAAACACGGACCAAGGAGUCUAACAACCACGCGAGUGUGCGGGUGUCAAACCCGUGCGCGCAGUGAAAGCGAACGGAGGUGGGAGCCCUCUCGGGGGUGCACCAUCGACCGAUCCUGAAGUCUUCGGAUGGAUUUGAGUAGGAGCGUGGCUGUUGGGACCCGAAAGAUGGUGAACUAUGCCUGAAUAGGGUGAAGCCAGAGGAAACUCUGGUGGAGGCUCGCAGCGGUU